UCGAGAAUCUUCGGCAAUGGGCGCAAGCCUGACCGAGCGACGCCGCGUGGAGGACGAAGGCCUUCGGGUUGUAAACUCCUGUCGAGGGGGAAGAAGCCGCAAGGUUGACUGAUCCCUGGAGGAAGCACGGGCUAAGUUCGUGCCAGCAGCCGCGGUAAGACGAACCGUGCGAACGUUAUUCGGAAUCACUGGGCUUAAAGCGCGUGUAGGCGGGACGGCACGUCGGUCGUUAAAAUCCCCCGGCUCAACCGGGGAACCGGCGCCGAUACGACCGUCCUGGAGGAACGUAGGGGGACCUGGAACUUCCGGUGGAGCGGUGAAAUGCGUUGAGAUCGGAAGGAACGCCCGUGGCGAAAGCGAGGUCCUGGACGUUUUCUGACGCUGAGACGCGAAAGCCAGGGGAGCGAACGGGAUUAGAUACCCCCGUAGUCC
RNAcentral lists this ribosomal RNA (432 nucleotides) under uncultured bacterium. Its description in RNAcentral is "bacterial SSU rRNA". It matches the Rfam family "Bacterial small subunit ribosomal RNA", at positions 355 to 796 of the family's 1533-position model. The record is from RNAcentral.